ACAGCAGUAGUUCAAAAGAGUUGGAAGAACACUACCUUGCAAAGGUAGAGGAUGCGGGUUCGAGUCCCAUUUACUGCUC
This 79-nucleotide transfer RNA is filed under the name Kordia sp. SMS9. Its description in RNAcentral is "tRNA-Cys". It matches the Rfam family "tRNA". From Rfam's summary of the family: Transfer RNA (tRNA) molecules are approximately 80 nucleotides in length. Their secondary structure includes four short double-helical elements and three loops (D, anti-codon, and T loops). Further hydrogen bonds mediate the characteristic L-shaped molecular structure. tRNAs have two regions of fundamental functional importance: the anti-codon, which is responsible for specific mRNA codon recognition, and the 3' end, to which the tRNAs corresponding amino acid is attached (by aminoacyl-tRNA synthetases). tRNAs cope with the degeneracy of the genetic code in two manners: having more than one tRNA (with a specific anti-codon) for a particular amino acid; and 'wobble' base-pairing, i.e. permitting non-standard base-pairing at the 3rd anti-codon position. The record is from RNAcentral. Lineage: Bacteria; Pseudomonadati; Bacteroidota; Flavobacteriia; Flavobacteriales; Flavobacteriaceae.